UUGUGUUCAUGAAAACUGCCAGAUUGACAGUGACUCACAUCUAGCAUCCGCAGUAUGUGUGCAGUGGUAUUUCAGGCUUACCCACACUGUUCUGCUUGUAUGCCUGAACCAUAAUUCACUGAUACCACCUCUGGGAGCCAGAAGGUAGUUCAGUGUUCAUUCCCAUUCACUCCUUGGCCUCU
Molecule: unclassified non-coding RNA, 182 nt
Organism: Chelonoidis abingdonii (Abingdon island giant tortoise)
Lineage: Eukaryota; Metazoa; Chordata; Testudines; Testudinidae
Source: Ensembl